Ceratotherium simum simum (southern white rhinoceros) is the source of this 95-nucleotide non-coding RNA. The record is from RefSeq and is a predicted model, not a curated record. Lineage: Eukaryota; Metazoa; Chordata; Mammalia; Perissodactyla; Rhinocerotidae.
AUGUUGGGGGUAUGUCAUUAAAAACAAAGUCUCCCAACCCAGAAAACUUCUCCACAAAGGUAGUAGAGACAGAAAACAGUUUUAUUAGUGAAUAA